GAUGAAGAACGUAGCGAAAUGCGAUACGUAAUGUGAGUUGCAGAAUUCAGUGAAUCAUCGAAUCUUUGAACGCAUAUUGCGCUCUCUGGUAUUCCGGAGAGCAUGCUUGUUUGAGUAUCAGUAAACACCUCAACUUCCAUAUCUUUUUUGAAAUGGGAGUUGGACUUGAGUGAUCCCAACGCUUUUCCUCACCGAAAAGUGGCGGGUUACUUGAAAUGCAGGUGCAGCUGGACUUUUCUCUGAGCUAUAAGCAUAUCUAUUUAGUCUGCCUAAAAAACAGAUUAUUACCUUUGCUGCAGCUAACAUAAAGGAGAUUAGUUCUUGUGCUGACUGAUGCAGGAUUCACAAAGACAGGCUUCGGCCGACUUUGUAAACUCGAUCUCAAAUCAAGUAAGACUACCCGCUGAACUUAAGCAUAUCAAUAAGCGGAGGA
This 433-nucleotide unclassified non-coding RNA is filed under the name soil metagenome. Its description in RNAcentral is "partial contains 5.8S ribosomal RNA, internal transcribed spacer 2, and large subunit ribosomal RNA". The stretch from base 1 to 120 matches the Rfam family "5.8S ribosomal RNA", at positions 35 to 154 of the family's 154-position model. The record is from RNAcentral.